UGAGGAACAUGACCUUCGGCGGGGGAUAGCCGGCCCAACGGCCGGGUAAUACCGCGUACGACCACUUUGGGACAUCCCUGGGUGGUGAAAGCAGCAAUGCGCCGAUGGAGUGCCUCGCGGCCUAUCAGCUAGUUGGUGAGGUAACGGCUCACCAAGGCAACGAUGCGUAGCCGACCUGAGAGGGUGAUCGGCCACAUUGGAACUGAGACACGGUCCAGACUCCUACGGGAGCAG
Molecule: ribosomal RNA, 234 nt
Filed under: uncultured bacterium
Lineage: Bacteria
Description: partial 16S ribosomal RNA
Rfam family: Bacterial small subunit ribosomal RNA
Source: RNAcentral